ACGCGUGUAGCUCAGUUUGGUAGAGCAGCGGUCUCCAAAACCGCGGGUCGGGGGUUCGAGUCCCUCCACGCGUGCCG
This 77-nucleotide transfer RNA is filed under the name Chloroflexota bacterium. Its description in RNAcentral is "Chloroflexi bacterium (sediment metagenome) tRNA-Trp". It matches the Rfam family "tRNA". From Rfam's summary of the family: Transfer RNA (tRNA) molecules are approximately 80 nucleotides in length. Their secondary structure includes four short double-helical elements and three loops (D, anti-codon, and T loops). Lineage: Bacteria; Bacillati; Chloroflexota. The record is from RNAcentral.